GGGUUGAGAGCAAGCUAGGCUAGCUGCGUGGCUCCAUGUUGGCCAUGCAGGACCGCCAAGGUUGACCCAAUGUGAUCCGAUCAAGUUUGGUCUUUUUGAGACUUGCUUCAACCGUUUCUCCUUGUAGAUUAGAGUUACGGAUGAUAAUUUUAGUCAAUCCAUCUGAUGUGCAACUUGAUCCGGAGCAAAUAUGGGUUCUAAAAUAAAUAUUCGAAGUGGAUUCAAAUAGAAUACAGAUAAUAAUAUAUCCUGAUCCGAUAUAAUCUUAAUUAAUAUAUAUAUUUUUUCAAAAUUAUAAUAAUUUUAUAUUAUUUACAUGCAUCUGAUCCAAUCCGAUCAAUUCCUCUUAUCUAUCUGAUCCGAUCUGAUCUGCAUCUCUACUUGAUCCUACCCGAUCCGAUCUAAAGUGAAUAUGGAUAUGAAAUUUUUACUGCAUAAAUAUAGACAGAUCCGAUCCAUUGCUAUCUUUUAUUGGGUUAGGAUGGAGCACAAUCCAAAGUCUAUAUUGAUCUCAAUUAUUGCUGUGACCAAUGCCCAAUUUAUAUGGUCUUGAUUUUCAAGUAUAGCCAAGUGGUUAGAUGAUCCAUUUGCAAAUACUGUGCCAUAGGCGCCACCUCCUAACUUCAAAAUUCUGGAUCCUAUAUAAAAAAAGAAGAAGAAUAAAAAAGAGAAAUACUAUGGUUACUCGGAAAAAUCACUUAAAAAGUCAUUGAGGUGCCCCGCACCAAUCACUUUGUUUCAUUCAAUAGCACACCUUAUGAUGCUAAAUUCAAAGGGAGGAAACUAGUUGUGAC
This 794-nucleotide long non-coding RNA is filed under the name Elaeis guineensis (African oil palm). RNAcentral's name for it is "long non-coding RNA (EGUI_LNC017202)". The record is from RNAcentral. Lineage: Eukaryota; Viridiplantae; Streptophyta; Magnoliopsida; Arecales; Arecaceae.